Non-coding RNA from Metarhizium acridum CQMa 102, 73 nucleotides. The record is from the annotation of a RefSeq genome assembly. NCBI's taxonomy places the organism in Eukaryota, Fungi, Ascomycota, Sordariomycetes, Hypocreales, Clavicipitaceae.
UUCCUCAGCUAACAUGGCAUAGCGCGUCACUCGUAAUGACGAGGUCGUCUGUUCGAUCCAGGCCGCGGGCAAA